Chenopodium quinoa (quinoa) is the source of this 6006-nucleotide RNA transcript. RefSeq lists it as uncharacterized. NCBI's taxonomy places the organism in Eukaryota, Viridiplantae, Streptophyta, Magnoliopsida, Caryophyllales, Amaranthaceae. The transcript has 8 exons. The record is from RefSeq and is a predicted model, not a curated record.
AGGACAAAGCUUUAGAAAAAGGCGGAUUUACAUAAAUUUACUGUAUAGCAGAACUUUUUGGAAAAGACUUUAUUUCCCAAUUUUCAUCUCACACGUGCCAAUCCUUGAAUUUUUUUUUUUGUCUCCUCCUAACUACCUCUUUCUGAUUUUUACUCUCUCCUCCAUUCUUUUCUCUUUCUGGAUCAUUCUUCAAUUUCUCUCUCCUCUUCAAGCUUUUUUCUCCAAGUUCUCUCUCUUUCAUCUCUCUUUUACUUUCAAUUUUACAGGUUAAUUGAUGCCGAUAUUUUUUCCCAUUUCUUUGAUUGUUGUUUGAUUUUUCUUUGUUAUUAAAAAUUGUUUUCAUUUUGCGAAGUUAAGUGAGACGAUGGUUGCGAAAGUUUUGAUCAAGAAGAAAUUACUCCAGUUAUAAUCGUAGAUUCGAAACAUAUAGGAGGUAAUUUUGUUAUUUCUAUGUUUUUGUAACCUAAUUUUUUAAUUUGUUCGAUUGAUUUCGAUUUUCUAGAUUUUGUAGCCUACUUUUUGUAUUUGUCAUUUUUAUUUUGAUGUUCUUUAAUUUCUAGAGUUCUUGUGAUAUGGAUAUUCAUUUGGUUCCGAUUUGUUCUUAUUUACAAUAUAUUUGGGAAUUAUAUCAAGCUUAUAAUAGCCUAGCUGUAAAUUUUAGAAGCUACUCACUAAGAGCUUGCAUUGCCGAUUUGUAUGAUCUGUCUUGCAUACUUUGAUAGCACAUGAUAAAGCACCCCAAUAUUACAUCUUCACUACAUUUAGCCAUUUAUUAUGUAUGCUGCAUUAUUGUGCUAAUAUCUUCAGACCAACAUUAAUCAAGACCUUUAGCUUGUGCAUUAGCAGCAAACAAACUUCGUUGUCGAAUUUAAUAAUAAAAUCCAUUGCAAAUUAUGACAUUUGAUAUUGUUGCUUGAUUGUGGAGAGAUAUGAAUUAUAUUGCGUUGUUUGAUGGAUCGGAGGACAUUGUCUCGUCCUUGUGUAUUUUCCUUUGUUGGACCGUAUAUUAUUAGAUUAUUACUUUUGUAGGUACUUUGUAUAAGUUUAAUUUGAAGGGUCCCUUGGGGAUCGAUACGUGUAAUUUUGUUGUAUCCAGGGUGACUCUUAUGAGCAUAUGAAAGCUGACAUUAUAUAUUUGAAGGGUACUGUUUGUAAAUAAGAACAAUUGUAAUUUAUGUAUACAAAUCAAUAAAUAUGUAUGUGAAGUGUAUUGAGCUAUCUUCAUAGAUUCAUAGUGUUAAUAUCUUUGUCAUAGUACAAGAGAUAAGGAAAUGACUACUACUUCUUAGCAUAUUAAUUAGAACAUAAUCAAGGAAUGGCAUCUCUCCCCCCCUCUCUAUGAGAAUACUAGGUCAUUUUCCUUAAAUAUGUGACUAUAUUUCCAUUGUUAUGAUAGAAAUGGAAAGUGUCUAAUUUCAAGGCUAUUAGCUUAAAUGGUAGAGCAAUUUGCUAUAAUGUACAUGGUGUGGGUUCAAGCCCCACAUAGGCUACAUAACACUUGUAUAUUGUUGAAUUCUUAUUUUUGCUGGUGUAACAUUGGUCAUUUCUAUAAGUUGUAACAAGCAUAACACUCUUGGUUAGGAUAUGUUAAGUGCUUUUGAUCACGGUUACUUUUGUCUUAGUUAGGGUCACUUUCACCCUUAUAAAAGGUCAUUUUUGUUCUCCCUUAAAUAAGGUCACUUUUGUUCUCGUUAGGGUAACUUUUAUCUUUGGUUAGGGUUACUUUUGCCUUAGUUAGGGUCACUUUCACCCUUAAGUAAGGUUACUUUUGUUCUUGUUAGGAUAACUUUUAUUCUUGGUUAGAGUCACUUUUGCCUUACUUAGAGUCACUUUCACCCUUAAGUAAGAUCACUUUUUGUUCUUGUUACGAUAACUUUUGUUUUUGUUAUAUUAACUUUUGCUCUUGUUAAGGUAACUUUUGUCCUUGUUGGUUAGAGUCACUUUUGUCUUACUUAGGGUCACUUUUACCCUUAAGUAAGGUCACUUUUGUUCUUGUUAGGGUAACUUUUGUUUCCUAGUUACGGUCACUUUUGCCUUACUUAGGGCCACUUUAACCUUUAAAUAAGGUUACUUUUAAUAAAGUUAUCUAUAUUGUUUUAAUGCCGAGAAUUAAGUUCAAGAAAGUUAAGAGAUUCGAUGUUUGUUCUUAUACAAAGCCAAUAGCCUAUAUAGGAUUCGAACCUACAUACUCUGUGCAAGACAGAGUGCUCGACCAACUGAAAUAAUAGGCUAUAUGACAACACAAUAUGAAAUAAUUACAAAUUUAUAGUAGUAUAAAACUUGCAGACUAAAUUGAACCAGUUCAUAGCAAUAUAAAAACGGCAAAUUGGCAGAAUAGAAAUUCUAAAUUUUUUGAUGCAGUGAUGCAUUUAGGACAAACUAAUGGUUCCAAUUUCCAAGUAGUUCUAUAAUACAAAAAUCAGCAUGGUUUUAGUUUUAAUUCAAUGUCAACCAUUGUUCAAAGAAACUAAUUGCUAUUUGUUUAGCCAACCAUAUAAACGAUUCUUUAAGCAAACCUUCAAUAAAAAGUCAGAUCACAAUUUCAUAUAGGUUAUAGUUAAUAAAGAGUCAACAAUGUUUAAAAUUGUAUAUGCAUUAAUCUCAGACUCGUAAAUUUUGUUAGUUAUUACCCCUAAACCGCUACUUUAGGAACUUUGACACACAUUAAAUGAAACACAUUAUUAAUUUCAAUUUAUCAAAAGAUUGAUUCAAAAGUUUCUGUGUUAACAUAAUCACUUGCUUUGAUCGAUUAUUACCUAGAUUUAACAAACUAGCAUUAGAAAUUUAAUUAAAAUAAACGAAAAACGAAAAGUAUAUUUCCUGGGUUUUGAUUCCCCCUAAUUUGUGAACUCGAAUUCCUGGCUUCAUCAUCCAUCCUCCAAUCCGAAGCAAUUUUCUUCAAUUGUGUUGUUUAAAUCGAUUUUCAUUCUAUUUUUCAAUUGAUAUUCCAGUAUUAGAGCUUGAAUAUGUCGUUGUCAUUGUAGAAACCCUUAUAUCAAAUUUAAACAAUUCGAGAAAUUGAACAGAUGCUUUGUUGCAUGAUGAUUUGUAAUUCUUUCCGCCAUUGUUGAUUGAAACUCGUAGAUCACAUGUUUUUUUUUUUCGUUUAUCAAUGGUGGAUUUUUCCAUAUUCUCCUCCAUUGUUGCUGGGUUUCGAGCUCUCUAUUUCUGAGCUUUGUGGUCUGUUAAAUCUUUUUUUUUUAAAAAAAAACAUAUGGUUACUAUUCACACGUGACAAAACCGGAUUUACAUUAAACUUAAUGUAAACCGGGUGCAUAUAAAAACUUUUGUAAUUGCAAUAUCUUCUAUUCUGUUGGAUUUAAUACAAAAACUUAAAUAAACCUGGUCCACAAUAAUUUAUUGUGGACCUUGUAUUGUCACGUGACUCUCUCUCCAACAUCUUACUACUGCUUCCUCUAUUCCCACCCAAAACCCAUGUUUUUUAUUUCUUUUCCCAAAAAAACGCAGCGAAAACGCUUUCUCUCUCUUCCGACCUUCCGUUCUUCCAUUUUCUCUCUCUACAAAAUCAGCUCCGGUUUUUCUGGAAAAUUGCUCGAAUUAUUCUUCAAUGGCAAGAACUAGAGGUGGUGGUACAUUUCAACGGAGAAGAGGCCUUCGUUCUUCAGCUACUCAACCACUUUCUGGCUUGAAGAAGAUAACUAAAGCUAAAAAGAAAAAGAGUAUUGCGAUUGAGGCUCAUGAAGGUGCUCUUGAGCAUCAAGUUUCUACAAUUAUAUCACCAUCAUCUCGUCGUAAGAGAACUCAUGAUGAAUUCGAAGUUGAACCUGCUGCUCUUGUUCGUCCUAAGAAGCCAAGGACUAGAACGAAGAAACCAAUAGUUGAAAGCUGCUGAAACUGGUGGUGAUGUACCUACAUUGCGGCCAUUUAAAACUAAAUGUAGGCCUUUGCAUUUGGUUGACAUGAUAUCUAACUUUACUCUUGAUCAAAAAAAUUCUGUAAAUUAAAUUGGCUUUGGAGGGUUGUUAUCAUUGAAGUUGAAAAGGAAUCCUACUAGUAUGUACAGGUGGCUAAUUGAUUCUUUUGACUGUGGUAGCUGCAUGUUUUCAAUUGGUAAUAAUAAGGAGUUUGUGGUGAAUGAGUAUGAUGUGUUUUGCCUUCCUUUGAACCCCAAAAAUGUUGAGGAGAUACCUAGAUCUGCUAAUAAUCCAGACUUUAUUUUCAAACAUAAUUGGAGAUUGCAUUUUGGGUUGACAGAUAAAAAUGAUCAAAUUCCACUUAAUUUGUUAGAAGCUAGGAUACCUACUUUAGGCCAAGGUGGAGAUGAGUUUAAGCAACUCUUUGUUAUGCAUGCUAUAUCCACGUUUAGCUCCUACUUCUAACAGAACUGCUGAUCUUAGGAUUGUCAAGGCACUUGAUGAUGUUGAACAAAUUAAGAAUUUGAAUUGGUGUAAAUAUGUUCUUGAAAAACUGUGUGAAGGUGUUAAAAGUUACAAAAAAGGAGAAAUUCAGAACUGUUGUGGUUGUGUUUUGAUGUUGGAGAUUAUUUACUUUCAUAGGUUGAAAUUUAGGAAUGUUGAAUUAAUUACUUCUUUACCCUUAAUUCAACAUUGGAAUGAUGAGUUGAUGAAGGAUAGAAUUAAGAAGGAAAAAUUGUCCAAAAGUUUUGGGUGUGGGAUUUUACUGAUGUGUAUCCUGUUAGUGGUAAACUGAAGUUUCUGGAUGGACAUGUUGUGGGUAUUGCAGGGGGAAGUAUGGGGAAUGUUGGGGGAGUGAUAAUGUUGUGAGGAAUGUCGGGAGGAGUGUUGAUGUGCCUGAUUCCCAGGGUACAAUACAGUUCAUUCGCCCAGCAGGUUCGAUGUCAGAUCAAGAGAUCCAUUCGGCUGCUAUUGAUCCCGUUCAUGAGCAAUUUUUGUUCAUGAAAAGAGAUAUGCAUGUGAUCUCUUCUUUUUACAAUGACAAGAUAAAAUAGAUUCUUCUUUCACGUGGUGAGGCCAACAACUCUUCUGGCUCUUCUGGUAUUAAUUUGUCCCAGGAUGAUUCGUUUUUUAUGGAUCCUCAAGUUCAAUCUGUGAUUGACGGGUAUUUUUUCACCAAAAGCAUUUGAUUCAAAGGCUAGAAUUGUACACAUUAGGAGAGCCUUCUGAAAUCACGAGCAGUAGUAUUUUGGAUUGCUGGGCAUUGCUUCUCAAUGAAAAUCAGAAAUAUUUGAAGGAUGGACCUUGGAAAUUAUACUUUGGUUCUUCAAUUAGUGUUACAAUAGUAGAAGCUGCCGGCAGUGAUGGCAAUUCACAAAUAAUGGACAAUGUUUAUCAAGAUAUUUUUACCUUGUCUUUGGGGUAAUCAAUAUUGCUUAUUUGUGGUGAAUUUGACUGAAGGAAAAAUUCAGUUUAUUGAUAAUCUGAAUUAUGAUGAGGAUAAUCGUAUGUUUUUGAAAAAGUUGUCUAGUCUCCUGUGUGAUAUGAUCAGUACCUUCUUUGAUCAAAGGCUUACUCAAUCUGGAGAUAUGGUUGACUACGCUUUGGAGUUUCCUACUUUGAAUUGGAGAUCUAGCAAAGAUAAUUCAGAUUUUGGUGUUUAUAUUAUGAUGAGCAUGCUUUUAUUCAAUGGAGUUGAUGAGUUUAAAUGUGAAGUUGUAAAAACAGCUUCAAAUAGGAAGAUUCUCCGGAUUCAAAUUGCUGCGUCUUUGGUAUUAUCUGAUAUGAAUGAAGCUAGAUCAAUUAUAAUUGAUAAGGUGGCUGAAUUCAAACUUGAUAGGUAGCGUCUUUCAAAAGAGGUUGAAGAAAGAAGAAAAAAAGAGAUUGAAGAGAGGAAGAAUAAGAAGCCAACUGAAGACAAGAAGAAGAAAGGAAAGGGGAAGGGGAAAGCUUAAGAUUUCAGAACAUGAUUUUUUGACUUAGUAUUAAUUCAACUUUUGUGUAUGAUAUUGAAGAAGAUUGAAAAAAUAUUCAUUUUGUGUAAACAAGCAUUUGCCAACAUUUUAUGAAAAUGGUAUAUUGUUUGUUUAAAAAAAAAGUCUCAAUAUUAAUAUACGGGUUACUAUGCUAA